RNAcentral lists this ribosomal RNA (362 nucleotides) under uncultured bacterium. Its description in RNAcentral is "partial 16S ribosomal RNA". It matches the Rfam family "Bacterial small subunit ribosomal RNA", at positions 338 to 692 of the family's 1533-position model. The record is from RNAcentral.
CCUACGAGAGUCUGCAGUGGGGAAUUUUUCGCAAUGCUCGUAAGAGUGACGCAGCGACGCCGCGUGAAUGACGAAGGCCUUCGGGUCGUAAAGUUCUUUCGACAGGGAAGAAAAUGCCUAUAAGUAACUGUGUAUGUAUUGACGGUACCUGUAUAAGCAGCCCCGGCUAACUCCGUGCCAGCAGCCGCGGUACUACGUAGGGGGCGAGCGUUUUUCGGAGUGACUGGGCGUAAAGAGCACGUAGGCGGUGUUGUAAGUCAUUAGUCAACGACUAGAGCUCAACUUUAGUAAGGCUAGUGAUACUAUAAUAGUAGAGUAUCAGAGAGGAUUGCAGAAUUGCUGGUGUAGCGGUGAAAUGCGGA